CUGUGAUGGGAGUCACAGCACACAGUGCCGCUCCUGCCGACCCGGUUGGUUCCAGCUGGAAAAUGAGUGCCUGCUCCAAUGCAGAGAGGGAUAUUAUGCAGAAAUCUCCACUGGCCAGUGUAAGAGGUGCCACAAGAGCUGCAAGGCAUGCCGGGGUCCACAGCCCACAGACUGCCUGUCUUGCGAUAC
Molecule: long non-coding RNA, 189 nt
Filed under: Ictidomys tridecemlineatus (thirteen-lined ground squirrel)
Lineage: Eukaryota; Metazoa; Chordata; Mammalia; Rodentia; Sciuridae
Description: lncRNA (ENSSTOG00000029822.1)
Source: RNAcentral